GACGAACGCUGGCGGCGUGCUUAACACAUGCAAGUCGAACGGAAAGGCCCUGCUUUUGUGGGGUGCUCGAGUGGCGAACGGGUGAGUAACACGUGAGUAACCUGCCCUUGACUUUGGGAUAACUUCAGGAAACUGGGGCUAAUACCGGAUAGGAGCUCCUGCUGCAUGGUGGGGGUUGGAAAGUUUCGGCGGUUGGGGAUGGACUCGCGGCUUAUCAGCUUGUUGGUGGGGUAGUGGCUUACCAAGGCUUUGACGGGUAGCCGGCCUGAGAGGGUGACCGGCCACAUUGGGACUGAGAUACGGCCCAGACUCCUACGGGAGGCAGCAGUGGGGAAUAUUGCACAAUGGGCGGAAGCCUGAUGCAGCAACGCCGCGUGCGGGAUGACGGCCUUCGGGUUGUAAACCGCUUUCGCCUGUGACGAAGCGUGAGUGACGGUAAUGGGUAAAGAAGCACCGGCUAACUACGUGCCAGCAGCCGCGGUGAUACGUAGGGUGCGAGCGUUGUCCGGAUUUAUUGGGCGUAAAGGGCUCGUAGGUGGUUGAUCGCGUCGGAAGUGUAAUCUUGGGGCUUAACCCUGAGCGUGCUUUCGAUACGGGUUGACUUGAGGAAGGUAGGGGAGAAUGGAAUUCCUGGUGGAGCGGUGGAAUGCGCAGAUAUCAGGAGGAACACCAGUGGCGAAGGCGGUUCUCUGGGCCUUUCCUGACGCUGAGGAGUGAAAGCGUGGGGAGCGAACAGGCUUAGAUACCCUGGUAGUCCACGCUGUAAACGGUGGGUACUAGGUGUGGGGUCCAUUCCACGGGUUCCGUGCCGUAGCUAACGCUUUAAGUACCCCGCCUGGGGAGUACGGCCGCAAGGCUAAAACUCAAAGGAAUUGACGGGGCCCCGCACAAGCGGCGGAGCAUGCGGAUUAAUUCGAUGCAACGCGUAGAACCUUACCUGGGUUUGACAUGGAUCGGGAGUGCUCAGAGAUGGGUGUGCCUCUUUUGGGGUCGGUUCACAGGUGGUGCAUGGCUGUCGUCAGCUCGUGUCGUGAGAUGUUGGGUUAAGUCCCGCAACGAGCGCAACCCUUGUUCACUGUUGCCAGCACGUUAUGGUGGGGACUCAGUGGAGACCGCCGGGGUCAACUCGGAGGAAGGUGGGGAUGACGUCAAGUCAUCAUGCCCCUUAUGUCCAGGGCUUCACGCAUGCUACAAUGGCUGGUACAGAGAGUGGCGAGCCUGUGAGGGUGAGCGAAUCUCGGAAAGCCGGUCUCAGUUCGGAUUGGGGUCUGCAACUCGACCUCAUGAAGUCGGAGUCGCUAGUAAUCGCAGAUCAGCAACGCUGCGGUGAAUAAGUUCCCGGG
This 1343-nucleotide ribosomal RNA is filed under the name uncultured bacterium. Its description in RNAcentral is "16S ribosomal RNA". It matches the Rfam family "Bacterial small subunit ribosomal RNA", at positions 28 to 1378 of the family's 1533-position model. The record is from RNAcentral.